Molecule: long non-coding RNA, 274 nt
Organism: Hipposideros armiger (great roundleaf bat)
Lineage: Eukaryota; Metazoa; Chordata; Mammalia; Chiroptera; Hipposideridae
Exons: 3
Source: RefSeq, a predicted model, not a curated record
GCUGACUUUGGUAUCUCAGCCCAGAUCGGGGCAACGCUGGCUCGACGCCUCUCUUUCAUCGGGACACCCUACUGGAUGGCUCCAGAAGUGGCAGCCGUGGCCCUGAAAGGAGGAUACAACGAGCUGUGUGACAUCUGGUCCCUGGGCAUCACAGCCAUCGAACUAGCUGAGCUACAGCCACCACUCUUUGAUGUGCACCCUCUCAGAGUUCUCUUCCUCAUGACCAAGAGUGGCUACCAGCCCCCCCGGCUAAAGGAGAAAGGCAAAUGGUAGG